This 59-nucleotide transfer RNA is filed under the name Canis lupus familiaris (dog). RNAcentral also lists the same sequence under 2 other names. Lineage: Eukaryota; Metazoa; Chordata; Mammalia; Carnivora; Canidae. The record is from Rfam by way of RNAcentral.
GCCUGGGUGGCUCAGCGGUUGAGCAUCUGCCUUUGGCUCAGAUAAUGAUCCCCCGGGUA